RNAcentral lists this ribosomal RNA (429 nucleotides) under Chloroflexota bacterium. Its description in RNAcentral is "Chloroflexi bacterium partial 16S ribosomal RNA". It matches the Rfam family "Bacterial small subunit ribosomal RNA", at positions 355 to 776 of the family's 1533-position model. Lineage: Bacteria; Bacillati; Chloroflexota. The record is from RNAcentral.
UGGGGAAUAUUGCACAAUGGGCGCAAGCCUGAUGCAGCCAUGCCGCGUGUGUGAAGAAGGCCUUCGGGUUGUAAAGCACUUUCAGCGGGGAGGAAGGCGAUAAGGUUAAUAACCUUGUCGAUUGACGUUACCCGCAGAAGAAGCACCGGCUAACUCCGUGCCAGCAGCCGCGGUAAUACGGAGGGUGCAAGCGUUAAUCGGAAUUACUGGGCGUAAAGCGCACGCAGGCGGUCUGUCAAGUCGGAUGUGAAAUCCCCGGGCUUAACCUGGGAACUGCAUUCGAAACUGGCAGGCUAGAGUCUUGUAGAGGGGGGUAGAAUUCCAGGUGUAGCGGUGAAAUGCGUAGAGAUCUGGAGGAAUAACGGUGGCGAAGGCGGCCCCCUGGACAAAGACUGACGCUCAGGUGCGAAAGCGUGGGGAGCAAACAGG